GGUAGUAUCUAGCCCUGCCUGGUGGUAAGGGUUGGGUUGGCUGGGAGGACUCCUAGGGAUGAUUAAUUUCCUCAGGUGGAGAAAAGGGAGAAAGGGUUGAGAUAGCCUCGUGUAGAAAGCAUAGAGGUAUUUUUAAAUGCCCAGAAUACUUGUGGGAAUCAUAGCAGCUGGGAAGAGGAGAGGAGACGCAUGUGUACAGAUAAAACUGUAAACAGUAGGUUGGAGCCAUAAUAUAGGGGACCUUGAAAGCCAGGCUGGCCCGUUAUAUGAGAGAGAGGGAGGGGCGCGAGAGGAGGGGCAAACGUACAAACGGAAGCCACGGACCCAGCCCGCGUUUUCCCAUCCAGAUCCGCGCUGCUCUGCGAGGGGCCUGGUGCGCAUGCGUGCCGACCCUCACGCCGCUCUACCGCUCCUCCUACCUCCCGUAACCUGCAAGUGCCUGCUCGGCUCAUCCACCCGAAACUGCGGCCUCGUGGUCGUGCUUGGGGCCUAAGUUUUGCGCCCAGCCUGCUGGGAGAAGUCCCAUGGGCAGAGGCCGAACGGUUCUGGAGCAGGCUGAGGGCCGUUUGGAAAUGUAAAAGCUGAAACAAAAGAAGCACAGAAACAAACUAUAUUUGCCAGACUCCUCUGCAGCCAUAUUUGGAAGGUGCAAAUGAGGCAAGGAUCCUUGGUUUCCUCCUUUUGCCACUAUAGCUUCCAAGUAUAUUCUUGUGGAGACAUCGGGUUUUUCUGCAACAGCAUGUCGAUGUCCAUUCACUAACUUUAUAGGAUGUGGUAGCCAGCCCCUUAAGACAGGCUUUCUAAUGAUUCUUGUCUCCUAGUAUUCAUGUCCUUGUCUCAUCCUCUCCCAGCACGAAUAAGGUCUGACUCAUGUGACCAAAAGAAUCUUACAUAAGUGAUGGUAUAUCAUCUCUGAGGCUAGGCCAUAAAAGACAUUGGUGCUUCUUCCUUGGUCUCAUGGACCAUUUGCUCCAGGUGAAGACAGCCACCGUGAAGUGUAGACACUCACACAGCUCUGUGGAUGGGCCCACAUGGAGGAGGAACUGAAACCUCCCUCCAUGACCAACGAGUUAGCCAUAUGAAUGAGCCACUUGGAAGCGAAUUCUUUAGCACCAUUCAAGCUUUCCAGAGGACUGCAGUCCAAGCCAAAAUCUGACUAAACCCCAUGAGGAUUUCAGAGCUAGAACUAUCUAUCUAGCUAAGCCACUUAAAAAUUUCUGACCAACAGAAAAUGUGAGCAACAAUAAAUGUUUAUUGUUUUAAACCACAGUAAUAAACAAGUGCUUAUUCUUGGA
Molecule: non-coding RNA, 1295 nt
Organism: Chlorocebus sabaeus (green monkey)
Lineage: Eukaryota; Metazoa; Chordata; Mammalia; Primates; Cercopithecidae
Source: RefSeq, a predicted model, not a curated record